Molecule: long non-coding RNA, 1197 nt
Organism: Magnolia sinica
Lineage: Eukaryota; Viridiplantae; Streptophyta; Magnoliopsida; Magnoliales; Magnoliaceae
Exons: 2
Source: RefSeq, a predicted model, not a curated record
CACCUCACAUGGAGUCAAGUCUCUCAUACUUCCCAAGCACAGCAAACAAAGUAAUGUACUAUCUUUUCUUUUUGGCCAUUGACAAAGCAUUAGAAUGGAGUUGUAAAGAGAAGAAAUACAUCUGUAUGGUAGUCAAUGCAUAAUGUAUAUUGUUUUCAUGGUAGCAUGACACCUUUCUCAAAUUUUGAUAUGUUGUGCACAUUCAAGCACCUUCAUCUUUAAUUUUUUCAAUAGACUGACAUGGUUUAAUUUUGAUCUAGUUUUUGUGUUCUUUAAUAAUAUUUAGUGGCAAUUUGUCUGCUCUUCCAAGCAAAAGGAAGCUGCCUCAAGACCAAGUAACAUAACAUCGACUAUGAAGUAUGAUACCAUUCUGUCUAUUUUCCACAUGAUUCCAACUUAAUUGGGUUAUUUCUUCUAAUUGUUUUACUUCCCUAAAUCCUUGUGUUUUGCUUUUGUGGAUUGUCAUUUUCUGUCCUUCGACAAAAGGAUCAUACCACAUCAGAUGGUCAGCUGAUCACAUUACCUAGGCCUGGAAAUCAGGCUGGUUAGUCAUUAGGCUUAUACCAUGGAACUGGAGGCUGAAGUUGCAAAACUUAAAGAGAACAAUGAAUUAUGAGUGUAUAGGUAAAUGUGAUGCUUUCAGGAUAUUUUACCAUGGAACUGGAACAAUGAAAGUUCCCAUUUUGGGGAGAUGUCAGGAUAUUUUAUCAUAAAACAGUAUGUUUCUAAAGUUAUGAGUGUAUAGCUAAUGUGAUGCUUUCAUUAACUUGUUGAAUUUUGCAUGGAUCAUCAGGGGUCUUUGCUUUCCAUGAGGAGUCGAUUACUCUUAUCUUGGUUUUUUUUUUUUUUUUUAUGAAAUAAAUCUGUCAAUGGAAAUGGAGUGACUUUUUUUUUUUUUGCCAUCCUAAGUUAUGAUACCCGCAAGAAACCUUGACUUUCAUUUAUUUUGUACAGGAAUUCAAUAACCGUGUUAGAAGGGUUCCAGGUCAGCCCAAUUUGGCAUCAAGGAUUUAUUCGUGAUGAUGGAAGGCAUGCCAUUUAUUCAUUACAGCAGGAUCUAAAUUUUGUAGUAUAUAUUUAGGAGUAAGUAGAUAAGGUGGAUAUGGUUGCAUUUUAAGUGGCAUGAUAUUUGUUUGGAUUAUUUGCUGAAAAUGAUCACUGAAAUCUUCAACGAAAUAAAAUUGAUUGGUUCUUACU